Hypanus sabinus (Atlantic stingray) is the source of this 3048-nucleotide long non-coding RNA. RefSeq lists it as uncharacterized. The transcript has 3 exons. The record is from RefSeq and is a predicted model, not a curated record. Lineage: Eukaryota; Metazoa; Chordata; Chondrichthyes; Myliobatiformes; Dasyatidae.
GUGCCAUGUUGGCGUGGAAUUUGUGGCAACACUUCCAGGCUGGCCCCGGCACAUCUUCACUGUCACAAACACGCAGAGCUCUGCAGAUGCUGGAAAUCCAAACCAACGCACACAGAAUGCUGGAGGAACUCAGCAGGCCAGGCAGCAUCUAUGAAAUAGUCUAAACCGUUGAUGUUUCGAGCCGAGACCCUUCAUCAGGACAUCCUUAGUGUUGGAUGGAAACACAAACAACGCAUUUCAUUGUAUUUCCAUGUACAUGUGGUAAAUAAAUCGGAAUCUGCAGGUGAAAGUACUCCCACAGAGUACAGAGGAGGUUCUAUCCAGUCACGGUGAAGGAAUGGCAAUGUAUUUCGAAGUUAAGGGGUGUCAUUUUUUUUUGCUGGGGUGGGACAUACAAAAUGACAGGUGGCCAAUUCAAUUGUACUAUUACUUUCCUUGGUGAGAAAGGUUGUUCUUUUGGGAGGUGCUGGCAAAAGGACCUAGGUGAGAAUGAUCAGUGUAUUAUAAAGACGGUAUAUACUGGAGCACAAUACUCUAGAAGUGAAUUGCAUACCAUCCAGGUGGGAUGAUUUGUCAUCGAUGAUGUUGAGUUUCUUAACUUCCUUGAAGUUGCUCCAGUGCAGGCAGGCGGAGUGUACUCAGUUCUGAUCGCCUCAUUGUAGAAAGGAUGUGGAAGCUUUGGAGAGGGUACAGAGGAUGUUGCCUGGAAUAGUGAGGUGGAGCAAGUUAUGGAACAAAGAGGAUGAGGGCUGAUUUGAUAGAGAUGCAGAAGAUCUGAUAGAGUGGACAGCCAGCACCUUUGCCCUAGCUGUCCAAGGGAGUGUAAGUUGAAACUAGUUUAGAUGCCGUACACUAGAGCUUGCUGUGUGACAGGGCAGCAGACGGUGCAACUGUCUCAGAGCUCCUGGUCAAUUCUGACCUCAGAUGCUAUCUGCUGGAACUUGCACGUGCUCCCUGUAACUGUGUCUUUCAACCAGGGUUUCAUGGAAAAAUGGGCUGUAGUAAAUGCACCCUGGUUUAAAUGGUUGAUGGAAAAAUUAGGGUGGCGUAUGGGCAAUCCAGGUUAAUUUAUUUAUCCCAUGAACAUUGAAACAUACAAUGAAAUGCAUCGUUUGCGUUAACAACCACACAAAGUAAGGAUGUGUUGGUGCAAGAAUAACCACACAUUCCAGUGUCAACAAUGUUCAGCAGAACAACGCAACCAGCAGCAACAGUGACCGAACAGGAGCAACUAAACAAUAACAGCAAAGUAAGCCCCAUUCCUCCCACACACGCACACAGACAGUCCUCCAACCCAAGGACAGGCUGUCUUCGGCAUAUAGCCUGCAAUGAACUCAGACUCACAUGCAUUGGGCCUUUGACUCCCCCAACGGACUCUCACGGGCUCUGGCCAUCAAGCCUCAACUUCCAGAUGUUGAAUUGACCUUCAGGCUUUGAUAUUGACCCAGGACUUGCCGAUGACAGCAAAUAAGGAACUCAAACUCCAAGCCUCAAACACUGGACUCUUUGAUGACUAGGACUCCAAGUGCUAGGCCCCCAAACGUUAGGCCUUGAAUUCCGGUCUCAUUGACAUGUCCCUAGGCCCUCCUGCCCGCCAGAACUCCAACGCUGGAACAUGCUAACGACUCGCUGACCUGGGGGCACUAGCCCUCAUCCUCGCUGGUCUGCCAGCCUGAAUAAUUUAAAGAGAAGUAAGUGCAGAAGAUCUAUUAUUUUAAACAUGGGCUAAAUCUAGUGAGCCUAGUGGCCUCUUUUUAUGUUAUCAGGAACUAUGAGAUCAUGUGAGACACUGAGCUAAUCACUUUGUUAUUGAUUUGGAUUUGAGCAUGAUGUGUGGUGUAUUGCAGAGCACUGGAAAUAGAUUCACCAGGAUCUUUGAAAUUGCAGAAGAGAAAAGGCUGCAGGGCUCUGGAGAAAGAGCAUAAGAGUGGAGAAAAGUAGAUCAAAGAGCUUGGGAACAAAAGAGAUGGUUGUUGACUCCAGGAGGGCACGGAGCGACCACUCCCCACUGAACAUCGACGGCUCCUUGGUAGAGAUCGUUAAGAGCACCAAAUUUCUUGGUGUUCACCUGGCGGAGAAUCUCACCUGGUCCCUCAACACCAGCAAGGAAAGCCCAGCAGUGUCUCUACUUUCUGUGAAGGCUGAGGAAAGUCCAUCUCCCACCCCCCCAUCCUCAUCACAUUCUACAGGGGUUGUAUUGAGAGCACCCUGAGCAGCUGCAUCACUGCCUGGUUCGGAAAUUGCGCCAUCUCGGAUUGCAAGACUCUGCAACGAAUAGUGAGGAUGCGGGUAAUACUGGCAGGGCCAGCACUUCUUGAGAAGCUGGUGAUGAAUCACCUUGGACAGGAGCAGCUUCUCCGGUGACGGCGUUGCCACGUUUUAUUGCAGAGGGAGUUCCUGAUGUGGACGCAUCAAUAAGGAAGGAAUGGCGAUGUAGUUCCAAGUCGGGAGCGCAUCUUGAAGGGCAAUGUGGAGGUGGUGGUGUCUGAAGCAUCUGCUGCCCUAGCUCUCUGUAGUUGAAACUGUAGGUUUAGGAGGUGUUGUUGAGCAGCCUAGGCAAGUACCUGGAGUGUAUUUUGUAAACAGUACACACUCUAGCCAACUAUGCUAGUGUUGGAGGGAAAAAUGUUUAAAGCGAUGGAUGUAUGUUAACAAAGCUGCAUGCCUAGUCCUUAACGGAGUUGAGCUUAUUUUUGUUUUGUUGUUUACUCAUUGAAAUAGAGAACAGCCCCUUCUGUCCCUUCAAGCCGCGCUGCCUGGCAACCCCCAAUGUAACCCCAGCCUAAUCACAAUGACCAAUUAACCUACCAACUGGUACACCGUCGGACUGUGGGAAGAAACCAGAGCGCCCAGAGGAAACAAACGCAGUUCGCAGAGGAAGCAUACAAGUCUUCACAACAGCGGGAAUUGAACCCUGGUCACGUCCACUGUGAAGCGUAGCACCAACCACUAUGCCACCAUGUCUCUAAGUCCCUUGGUGCUGUGCUCAUCCAGGCAAUGGAGAAUAUUCUGUCAUGCUCUGUCACGAAGGAAAGGCUUUGCGGUGUG